This 65-nucleotide transfer RNA is filed under the name Nanhaipotamon longhaiense. Its description in RNAcentral is "tRNA-Asp". The record is from RNAcentral. Lineage: Eukaryota; Metazoa; Arthropoda; Malacostraca; Decapoda; Potamidae.
AGGAAGUUAGUUUAAAUUUAUAACACAUAUUUGUCAUAUAUGAAUUGUCUUACAGACACUUCCUU